This 475-nucleotide long non-coding RNA is filed under the name Homo sapiens (human). Its description in RNAcentral is "LNC_000116". The record is from RNAcentral. Lineage: Eukaryota; Metazoa; Chordata; Mammalia; Primates; Hominidae.
UGUCAUUAUUCUAUCUACCACAUAAGGAUUUCAGACAUUGGACAACAGGCGGGAUGAAGGGGAACAAAUGAGGUGAGCCUCAUUUAGCUCAGUAGCUUCAGUUACUGACAGAGGAGAGUUUCCAGGCCAUACCACAGGAAGGGAGGACUCAAACAGAUCUUGAUGGUCUCCUUGAAUAGAGGAAACAGAUCUUGAUGGUCUCCUUGAAUAGAGGAAACAGAGUUGAGAAUUCACACAGGGCAAGGUAGCUAGAUUUCACUUGGCAGAGUACUGGUGAGGAGAGAGCUUCAUGGAAAAGAGAGAACUAAAUAGAGAAAGAGAGCUUCGGAUAUUUGCCAAGUUGUCCUUGAGUCUUUUCUUUUUUUUUUUUUUUUUUGGUAGAGACGGGGUUCUCCCUAUAUUGCCCAGGAUGGUCUCUAUCUCCUGACCUCGUGAUCCGCCUGCCUCCCAAACUCACCAAAGUGUAUGUAGAAAG